Molecule: ribosomal RNA, 421 nt
Filed under: uncultured bacterium
Lineage: Bacteria
Description: bacterial SSU rRNA
Rfam family: Bacterial small subunit ribosomal RNA
Source: RNAcentral
UGGGGAAUUUUGGACAAUGGGGGCAACCCUGAUCCAGCGACGCCGCGUGAAGGAUGAAGGUCUUCGGAUUGUAAACUUCUUUUGGAGGGGAUGAAUGACCUGGUGAAUAGCCAGGAGUGACAGUACCCUCGGAAUAAGCCACGGCUAACUACGUGCCAGCAGCCGCGGUAAUACGUAGGUGGCAAGCGAUACUCGGAAUCACUAGGCGUAAAGCGCAGGUAGGAGGUUUGGUAAGUCUCUUGUGAAAGCUCCCGGCUUAACUGGGAGAGGUCAAGGGAAACUACUAGGCUAGAGUGCGGUAGAGGUAGCUGGAAUUCCCGGUGUAGCGGUGAAAUGCGUAGAUAUCGGGAGGAAUACCUAUGGCGAAAGCAGGCUACUGGACCGUCACUGACUCUGAUCUGCGAAAGCUAGGGGAGCAAAC